AUACGUAGGUGACAAGCGUUAUCCGGAUUUACUGGGCGUAAAGGGCGUGUAGGCGGUCUUGCAAGUCAGAAGUGAAAUUCCUGAGCUCAACUCGGGCGCUGCUUCUGAAACUGCGGGACUUGAGUGCUGGAGGGGAUAGCGGAAUUCCUAGUGGAGCGGUAAAAUGCGCAGAUAUUAGGAAGAACACCGGUGGCGAAGGCGGCUAUCUGGACAGUAACUGACGCUGAGGCGCGAAAGCUUGGGGAGCAAACAGGAUGAGAUACCCUGGGAGCCCACGCCGUAAACGAUGAAUACUAGGUGUAGGGGGUAUCGACUCCCCCUGUGCCGCAGGUAACACAAUAAGUAUUCCGCCUGGGGAGUACGGCCGCAAGGUUGAAACUCAAAGGAAUUGACGGGG
This 397-nucleotide ribosomal RNA is filed under the name uncultured bacterium. RNAcentral describes it as "partial 16S ribosomal RNA". It matches the Rfam family "Bacterial small subunit ribosomal RNA", at positions 523 to 918 of the family's 1533-position model. The record is from RNAcentral.